Molecule: ribosomal RNA, 257 nt
Filed under: uncultured bacterium
Lineage: Bacteria
Description: partial 16S ribosomal RNA
Rfam family: Bacterial small subunit ribosomal RNA
Source: RNAcentral
GACGUAGGGCGCGAGCGUUGUCCGGAUUUAUUGGGCGUAAAGAGCUCGUAGGCGGCUUGUCGCGUCGACUGUGAAAAACUUGGGGGCUCAACUCCAAGCUUGCAGUCGAUACGGGCAGGCUAGAGUUCGGUAGGGGGAGACUGGAAUUCCUGGUGUAGCGGUGAAAUGCGCAGAUAUCAGGAGGAACACCGGUGGCGAAGGCGGGUCUCUGGGCAACAACUGACGCUGAGGAGCGAAAGCGUGGGGGAGCGAACAGG